ACUCCCUGAUGGAAAAGAAUGAGCGCUAAAACGAGAGAUGCUUAUGUCCCUUUCUACACACGUUUCUCAUUCAUUCAAGCGUUACUUUUCCUCUUUCCUUUCUAUCAAAUCGGGGUUUCCUUUUCUUCCCUCUUCAUCUCCUUAAUAUCGUUAUAAUCAGAGUUUCUUUUCUUCCUCCUUCAUCAUCCUAUGUAAACCCUAAAGGAAUUCACAGCAGUUCUUCAAGGAUUAUUACCGAUUUAUUCUAAUGGAAUGAUGGAUCUUUCAAAUGUGGGUUGUUCUACAAGCAACAGAGUCCCAAUGAUGGUGAAUGCAACGAUGCUGAAGAUAGUCUCAAUCAGAUUUCAAUUGAGAGCAACUGAGCAGAAGUUAGGAUGUGAAGGUUGUUAUACUGACUCAAUGAUGAUGGUGGUCAUGGUUGUGGGAAUCACUUAAUCCUAUCAUUGAAUCUGGAUCACUUAAAGUUAUUAACGUGGAUCAGCUCUGAACUUCGUUGAUCUAGAAUUUAAGAAGAUGGCGAUCAAAAUAUGCGAUCCAGUCGUCUGUACCUAGCGAAGGUGUGUACGAUUAAGUGGGGCCUGGCGUCAUUGUGAGUUUAAAGUUCUUCAUUUUGGUUAAUUUAGUGAUCUUCGUCUGCCAUCUCAAGCAUUCUAUCAGUUUUCUCCUAUCCCUCAUCCUCUGUCCAGAGGAAAAAAAGACAGAUAAUGGUUGACGAUUCUUCGUUGAGGAAACCAAACAGCGAUGGAGAUGAAGACCACAGGCCAAACGCGACCGGAAGAGAAAAAACCAUACUGAUGACGUUACUGGUAGACUUUCCACUUCAUUAAAGCAUCUCCCAAACGCUUUAAUGUUGUAUUCAACAUCGGUACUCCUUCCUUUUUUCUCAAUCACUGUGUUAAGUUUGCUUUUGAGAAAUUAUGUAUGCUUAAUUAAUUAUAUAUUUGUUCGUUAUGAAUGGAAUUGCCGACAUGGUGCCGAUUGAAGGAUUGUUUUCGAUUCGAUUUUACUUGCCUAAUGAACAAGUUCUGUAUUAUCAGACAAUUUUAUUAGUAUAUAUGGCCUUGGAUAGUUGAUUAUAGUGAUAUGUUUAUAGUAUAUAUGUUGUUUAUUUUUCUAAUUUUUCAUUAUAAGGAGGAAUAGGAGAUGAAAAUGCUUCUACAAGGGUGUUGCGUAUGUGCGAAACCUUCUUUGAAGACAACGAGAUCGUUGGAGAACGAAAAGUUAGUUGUUGUACCAAACUCAUCGGACAAGUUCAAAGUUUUCGAGAGGUUAUGUCGGUUCUUUACAAAUCGACUUCAGGGAAUACCACCGCCUUUGACAAACUAUUAGACCACAUGUUUGGUACCACCACUUCGACUAAUCAUCUGAUGUAUCUUAACUUUGUGUUCCAUUUGACCGUCUACACUAUGACUCUUCUGUUAUCUCAAUAAGCAAUUCGUUAUUUUUUUUUAGAUAUUUCAUUUUAGUAAUAUACUUUUAUUGUAAAAUUUAAUACAGUUUGCAACAGGGAGGAAUUUGUAUGCAAAUAGAAAUCCAAAUUGAAAGCAUAGGUAAGUAAGCUUUUAUUCCAUUCAUUAUUUUCCUUUUCUACCAUUAUAAGAUGCAUAUUGUUACUAGAUCAGACCACUUUUCUUUACUAUGAACUGGUCGGUUAUGUUUACAUUUUAUCUCCAACGGGUAAAGUGGGUUGAAAGUUAACAUCUAAUGUUGUUUAUAAACAAGGUUUUCAUAAAUUUGUAAUUUGUAUUUGUAGUUAUACAUCUGUACAUUGUAAAUGUAACUUCAAUAUAUAGGAAUAUUGGAUUUUAAUAAUCCCAACUAUCCGCUGUUGGCCGCCAAUAGUCCCAACUUAAAAAAUAACCACUGACAGUCCCACCUAUUUACACAUUGGCCACCAAUGGGCCCUGACUAACAGAACCCUAACGCCGUUAGUCUCCGGUCGCCGGAAAACCGUUUUUGUCCAUAAAAAGGUUUAUAAAGGUCCGAUCUAAGAUUACAAAGAGGCUUGGGACGAAAAUAUUGAGUUUUCCGGCCAAAAAGUUGAAUUUUUUUUUUGGCAAAAAAGAAGCUUUCCGGCGUAAAAGGAGUUUUUCGACGACUUUAAUAAUUGGGACUUUUACUAUAAAAAGGUUCCCAAAGGUCCAUAAUAAGGUUACAAAGAGGUUCCGGACGAAAAUGUUGAGUUUUCCGGCCAAAAAUGAGUUUUCCGGCCAAAAAUGAGAUUUCCAGCCAAAAAAAGUUUUUCCGGCGACCGGAGACUAAUGGCGUUGGGAUUCUGUUAGUCAGGGUCCAUUGGUGGCCAAUAUGUUAAAAGUUAGGACUGCCAGUGGUUAUUUUUAAAGUUGGGACUGUUGGCGGCCAACAACGAAUAGUUGGGAUUACUAAAAUCCAAUAUUCCUAAUAUAUAUACAUAUUUCUUAUUAUAACUUUUACUUAAUUUCUAUGAUCAAACAUGACCCGAAUUAACCAAUAUUAUAACUUGGGAGAAACUUAAAUACUUAAUCUUCAGACAGCAGACAACAGACUUAUGUCCAGUCAUUGAUGAAGUGGCAACUUUAUUUAGUUAUGCAUUUGUAGUUAAAGUGGCAACUUUAUUUGCACUGCAUUUGUAGAAAGUUUAUUUUAAAUAUUUUAUUCAACUGUGCAUUUUUAUGUGGACGAUGUUGCAGCGUUCUUGAUAGUCACUGACCAUGCAGCGUUCUUGAUAGUCAAUGACCAAAUGGAAUCCUAGGAAACUAAUAACAGCUGAUCUAAGUUUUCGAGUUUGUAAGAUCUAAGUUUUCAGCCGCUUCAGCCAGGUAUGCAACUUGGAUUUUGUUUCUCAUGAGAACUGAUGCACAUUGUGAUGCGGGUAUUUUGAAUGGUGGAGAUCUUUUCUCUUUGCUGAGAAAUUUAAGUUGUUUGAAAGAAAAUGUGACACAACCUUAUAUUGCAUAAUCCGUCAGUUAUAACGUCGUCGUCCUUCUAGAUUACUUUCAUAUGGGUAUGCUCUUAUGAAUUAAGAGUUAAAUCGUUAUCUACAUAUUCAUCUUUUGAUUCCUAAUCCUCAAAACAAAUUGUUGUAGUUACUUCUUUUUUUUUUUAAUUUAUAUAUACUUCGAUUUCUGAAUCAUUGUCGCGCAAUCAUCUACCUAAGCUGAAUUUCCUAUUUUAUAUGGUAUGUUUCUGAGCUAAAAGCACACUUACAUGAGAAGUCCUUUGAUCUUGAGGUAUGUGUUUUUAAAAAACACACACACAUAACUACAUCAUAGACAAGAUAAUAAUUUUAACACCCUAGGGGUAUUUUGGUGAUUUAUUGAAAGAUAUAGUUCUAAUAUGAGACAUAUGCUACUCUCUUUGACUGGUCAAAACAUGAGAUAAUAGAGUACUUAAAGAGUAGCUCAACGAGAAGGUAAGCACCUGGUGCUAAUGUUUUUCCCAUACAACAUUAUGAUUUUUAUCAUGCUUUUGAUUUUUGUAAGGUUUAUGUUUCAUCAAAUCAAUGAAUGUGAAGGACUACAGGAAAAAUAAGUCUCUCAAAAUAUGCGAUUUUAACAUACAAUUGACUUUAACAUAACCUUAAUAAUAUCAAGUUGUAAGCAAAUCUAUCUUUUAAUUAAUAUUAAUAGUUUCCUUUCAAUUUACAUUUAAGUGUCUUAUAUUCUUAUAGAUUCUUUAGAAAUCUAUAACCAGGGGGAAUUUAGAAGCUGGGGUGGGAUUUUGGUUGUUUGGAUUUGUAUGUGGACCUCAAUAGUGCAAGUCCUUAAUUUUUUAUUUGUGGUUAUUGCUUUAUUUUUACAGUUUUGGUCUAUGAUGGUGAGCAUGGGCUUAUCUGAGAGGUUUUAUGAAGUUGUAUUCUGGUUCCGAUUAUUAUAAGCCCUAAUGUUGUAAGCUCAAUGAUGGUGAGCCAAGGAUCGGCUGAAGGCUUCUUGAAUGUGUAAGUUGGUGCUAUGUUGGUUGCUAAGGGAAACUAUUUGUGGGAACGUAUAUUUUAUAUUAUCAACCGGGAACUUCUUAAAGCUUUACCAAUUUGUACGCUUGGCUUUAAGUAAGUUUUGGGCAUUUAUUUGUCGAAUGCCAUUCUGACCUGUUUCUAAGGUUUCUAGAGCAAGCCACAUGUAUGUGCUCUCCUUGCUUUAUCUUCUCAUGGUCGCAUGGCUCUUUUUGCCGACAGACUACCAUUUCCGACCUACUAAUGUCUGAUUUUCAAGACAUAGAACGGUGUUUCUAGAGGUUAUAUUUUAUCAUAAGGCUAUGAUGAGUCAAUACAUUUGAUUAUAAAGUUGAUGAUAUUGCCUUGGCAUGAUAGGGUUCAAGGAUGGUAGUUCAUUACUUGCAACCUUCCCUUCAACCAUGGUGGUAUUGUUGUUUUCUAGACUCUGAGCCUAUCAUAAGCAUAUUUGCCUCGACUAAAGUUUUCGUUUUAACUAUCCGAUGGUGCUUGGCUUUGUUUUGGUUUAAACUAAUAGAACAAACAAGAAAGUAGCGGGGGUUGAGAAGCUUCCGUUGUCUGUUGAGAUCAAACUCUCUCGAUCCAAUCAAACCUAUCGCCCCAAUCUAACAUGCGAAUGCACAACCUACACCUUACAGAUUUCAGCAACUUAAUUAACUCUUCUGUCAAUAGCCACUUCGGGAAAACUUCAUCACCAGAUUACUUUCUUCCAUUUCUGACCUUGGAAUCCAUAUAACCAUCAACAAUUCUAUAAAUCUGCAGGUUCGUGGAGGUUCAGUUGGAUUCAUUGAAUCGAUUUACGGUGUUUUGAAGCAUAUUCGAAUAGUGUGUACUGUUGCACAACAAAUAUGGGCUUUCAUAGAAACCAGGUGCAAGCUAAGCCGAUUUUAUAUUCUUGAGCUUAAAUAUUUGGUUGAUAUACAAAAUAAAUGCCACGGGUCAAGGAAAUGGAGACGCGCAAUAUUAUCGGUCAUGCAGACAGCCCUAUGAAAUUAAAACGUAUGGCUUCCUAUGGGUUAAAAACAGGGCAAAAUGCAAUGCGUUGUCGUGGGAAGAUUGAUGUAAUUUCGAGUUACACUCUAUGGGGGUGUGAUGUAAUGUUUUUAUUUGGUAAACUAUGUAAUAUCUCCGGGUUAACAUUUUUGUUGACCGGUUAAUUUGAAUAAAAUAUUUUGUUGGCCGUUAAAAAAAUAUAUUUUAGUAGUAA
Helianthus annuus (common sunflower) is the source of this 5138-nucleotide long non-coding RNA. RefSeq lists it as uncharacterized. Lineage: Eukaryota; Viridiplantae; Streptophyta; Magnoliopsida; Asterales; Asteraceae. The record is from RefSeq and is a predicted model, not a curated record. The transcript is spliced from 8 exons.